GGCUCUUUGCUUAUAUAAAUAUAAAGAGUCGAGCCUGCCCAGUGAAUAUUUUAACGGCCGCGGUACUCUGACCGUGCAAAGGUAGCAUAAUCAUUUGCCUUAUAAUUGAAGGCUAGUAUGAAUGGUUUGACGAGAGCAGCACUGUCUCCUUUUUAUUUUCAAGAACUUAACUUUUAGGUGAAGAGGCCUAAAUUUUAUUGAAGGACAAGAAGACCCUGUCGAGCUUAAAAGACAUCAUAGAGGUUUAGUAUAGCUUUAAAUAAAUUUCUAGCGGGCUUUUUAGUUGGGGCGACUAAGGAACAAAAAAAGCUUCUUCUUAACAAUAAACAGUCAUGUUUAGAUCCGAUGUUAACGAUUGAAGGAAUUAGUUACCGCAGGGAUAACAGCAUAAUCUCUCUUAAGAGACCUAAUCGAAAGAGGGGGUUGUGACCUCGAUGUUGGACUAGAAUAUCCUAAAGAUGCAGAAGUCUUUGAGGGUUGGUCUGUUCGACCAUUAAAAUUCU
RNAcentral lists this ribosomal RNA (503 nucleotides) under Koreoleptoxis nodifila. Its description in RNAcentral is "Koreanomelania nodifila partial 16S ribosomal RNA". It matches the Rfam family "Bacterial large subunit ribosomal RNA", at positions 1816 to 2597 of the family's 2925-position model. The record is from RNAcentral. Lineage: Eukaryota; Metazoa; Mollusca; Gastropoda; Pleuroceridae.